Paramisgurnus dabryanus is the source of this 1873-nucleotide long non-coding RNA. RefSeq lists it as uncharacterized. The record is from RefSeq and is a predicted model, not a curated record. Lineage: Eukaryota; Metazoa; Chordata; Actinopteri; Cypriniformes; Cobitidae.
CAUUAUUUUGAUAGACAAGGGCUGUAAGAAAAUUGUCAAAAUCAAUAAUAAUAUGAGCCAACAGCCAAACAAUAACAACUAAACUCAAUCAACUAUCUUAAUCUGCCUGAACUCAAAUCUUGUGGUCUAUAAAGUGGGAGUUUAUCUGUGUGUAAUUCAACCAUCAUGUUAGACUGAAGGAAUUGCAGUUAUCAUUAGAUUUCCCGACAGCACUGGACAAAUGACUUCUCACACUCAGUGUGACUUGAGACAAAGGAUAAACAAAGACAUUGAGUAUGUUUACAUGCACAUAAUAAGAGGACAAUUAUCCUAUUAUGAUAUUAUAAAAAUCAGCUUAUUACAUUAACAUGUUUCAAGCGUUUUAAUUUACUUUUAUUUGUGAAGUUUAUCUAUCUCAGGUGGAGACAUACGCACAUACGAAACGGCAAAAAAGACUUUAAAAUCUGGUUUAAGAGCAAAAAAACUACCUGUGCCAAUCAGUUUUUGCCAUUUAUGGGCUUUACCCUAUAAAAGAAAACAAUUUUAUGCAUUUAAAUGACCUUACACGUUAUCAGUUUAUUAAGCGUUUAGACUAUGUAGACACACUCACUGUGCACUAAAAUUAAAAAAAUUGGUUAACACGACCACUCGUGGUGGCUUCACUCAGAGGUUGGAGAAGACAACCGGUGGACUAAACAUCAAGCCUCUGCACGAUUCAGAAUUAAGACAACCUUAGCAGGAGAGCCCCAGCAGUAACUUUCUCUCAAGCAGAUGAGCAAUAAGUUGCUUUGUAUGAACACCACCCUAACAAUCAAGUAACCUGUUAACAGUAGACCAAAGGUAUGAUGAUCAAUUAUAAAUGCAAUAUGGUUGAAAGGUCAGUAAACAAACAACAAAAAGGUAAUUUCUUAAUAGAAUGUCUAUACAUUUUUUGCUUUUGUUACAUAUUUCAUACAUCAAAAUCAUUAAACGUUAAUAAUUAUGUAUUCCAACUUGUUGCAGCUUGACAAAAAUGUAGCUUGAAGGAGAAGGGACAGCUGAGUAACAAAGUCCUGGUAUGCAGACGACGAUACUAUUACACUGACAAGAGUGUAAUGAUGAUGGAGACACAAGCCAGAGAAAGGGGGGACCAAACACCAGGCCAGAAUUCUGCAUGAGUCAGAUCCAGUGGGUGCAGAUCAUCAUACAGAUGGUUCAAGUGUGGAUCCACCUAAUAUUCAAGAUUUUCUGUCCUGGGACACUCGGCUAACCAUCAAGAAAGAACACACUCCAGUGGGCAUCCUUUAUCCAUCCAGACCCUCAUACAGAUGUUGGAGUUUUGAUUCACCUAAAGUACCAUGCAAGAGCACUCAUUUUCCCUCUUGAGACCAUGGUGUGACCUGCAAGGUCGAAUGGAGACUGUAAGCGAGACAAUCUUGGAGUCACCUGCAUUGACUGGUCCAGUUGUUAGUCCAAUUACAGAUGGAGAUUAUAGAAGAGGAUGAUGUCUUUUCUCCAACAUCUUUCUAGACUGAUAAAAGAUCUAGACAGGCUUGAACAAAAGUUAACAGAGGGGCUUAUAUAGAGAAUGGUGAGCAGCUACACAUAAAAGAAGAACAUGGAGAAUCUGCCCAGAGGUGUUAACCAGCAAUGCAGCUAUACAACUAAAGUGAUGCAGGCGGAAACAAUGUGUAAUGCAGCUGCUGCAGAUGAAGAAUCCGUCCGUCUACCACUGAAGGAGACGCGGAAAAUCGGGAAAAGAUGUUCUUUGCCCGAGGAAGCAUUUGAUUAAUUUAAAGAUAUUGUGUUUCUUUGUAUGUUAUAGAAAAACGUUGCUUUUUUGCAUACACUCGUGUAAAUAUGCAUCUUAUGAAUGUUUUCCUUUGUCUAAUUUUAAUAAAUUUUACGCAAUCAA